This 465-nucleotide ribosomal RNA is filed under the name uncultured bacterium. Its description in RNAcentral is "bacterial SSU rRNA". It matches the Rfam family "Bacterial small subunit ribosomal RNA", at positions 331 to 792 of the family's 1533-position model. The record is from RNAcentral.
CCAGACUCCUACGGGAGGCAGCAGUGAGGAAUAUUGGUCAAUGGGCGGAAGCCUGAACCAGCCAAGUCGCGUGAGGGAAGAAGGCCCUGCGGGUCGCAGACCUCUUUGGACGGGGAGCAAGGCCGCCGACGUGUCGGCGGAAGGAGAGUACCCGUAGAACAAGCAUCGGCUAACUCCGUGCCAGCAGCCGCGGUAAUACGGAGGAUGCGAGCGUUAUCCGGAUUUACUGGGUGUAAAGGGAGCGUAGACGGCCAGACAAGUCAGAAGUGAAAGCCCAGGGCUCAACUCUGGGACUGCUUUUGGAACUGCCGGGCUGGAGUGCAGGAGAGGUAAGCGGAAUUCCUAGUGUAGCGGUGAAAUGCGUAGAUAUUAGGAGGAACACCAGUGGCGAAGGCGGCUUACUGGACUGUAACUGACGUUGAGGCUCGAAAGCGUGGGGAGCAAACAGGAUUAGAUACCCUGGUA